CUUUAUUCUCUUUCCGCCUCUGCCUCGGGAUGCCCAUCCCGAGGUAGGAAGAAGUUCCACCAUGUCCAGACGACCGACAGAUGCCCAUCCCCAUGCCCAUCCCGAGGCAAUUCCACCAGCUGCCAAGAGAAAUAUGACCAUCGGACCAUCCCAGCUCAGACCACUACAUCCCCAACCAAGAGCAAAGACGGACUAUUUGUCUUAUUAAUGCUGAAGUUACAAUAUUUGGUAUUAAAUGCUAAACUAAAAUCACAUGUCACCAGUCUGAGUGCAGCUAUGACACAUCAGAGGGGAUCUGGCCCUCCCGGUUGAGCCUGGUUUCUCCCGAGGUUUUUUUCUCCAUUAAUCAAUCAUUGGAGUUUGGGUUCCUCGCCACAGCAGGGCAGUGUUGGCCUGCUCACCGGGAGACUGCAUUCAUUCAUUUAUUUAUUUAUUUAUUUAGAAAUUAGAUGUUAUUUAUUAGAAUGAACUUACUCGUUGUAUAAAUACCAUGCACUGUGCUGUGUUUUAACUUUUCUGUUUUUCCUGUUUGCCCCUGUAAAGCUGCUUUGAAACAAUACACAUUGUGAAAAGCGCUAUAUAAAUAAACUUGAAUUGAAUUGAA
This is a long non-coding RNA of Triplophysa dalaica, 604 nucleotides long. RefSeq lists it as uncharacterized. The record is from RefSeq and is a predicted model, not a curated record. The transcript is spliced from 2 exons. NCBI's taxonomy places the organism in Eukaryota, Metazoa, Chordata, Actinopteri, Cypriniformes, Nemacheilidae.